This 1167-nucleotide long non-coding RNA is filed under the name Chloebia gouldiae (Gouldian finch). RNAcentral describes it as "Erythrura gouldiae (Gouldian finch) lncRNA (ENSEGOG00005000911.1)". The record is from RNAcentral. Lineage: Eukaryota; Metazoa; Chordata; Aves; Passeriformes; Passeridae.
AAAGCUGAGAGCUGCUAGGAAUGUGUUUUACAGAGCUGGGGAAGGAAAGUAGUUCACAAGAGGAAAAUAAUUCUGAGAUCUCCAGUGGAUGGUGGGAUGGGAUAGAUACAUACCACUGGCUCCAAAGUCCUGCAGGCUUUUUUGACCUCUUCAGAUCUUCAUGGAUGUUUUCUCCUGUGAAGAUUAACCAUGGAGAUGGUUAACCUGCAAGCACUGUACCAGUCAAACCUGUCAUUGCUGGCUAUGGAGUGCAACACCAAGCUUCUUGCUCUGGGGGGUCAAGGACUGGCUGCUCCCACUGGGGGUUUGGGUCAGCGCUGGUGAAUUUUGAGAUACUGGACACAGAGAGUUAACUGUAUUUCCAGCUGAGAUAUUUUUAUUAUUGGUUCUAUGUUGUUUCUUAUGUUUAAUGAUUCAGAGGAAGCAGAGGUGUUGAUCUGAUGGGGAACCUAGAAAGCUGUUUGGUAAUAACAUCCAGAUGUUUCCAUAGCACAUCUGCUUAAGCCACCGUUGAAGUCGAUGCCUUCAGCAGUGCUGGUGUAUUCACUGUUUGAAUGAUGAAACUUGAUGGGCUGCAAUUCAGCUUGGAUUACAGUAUUUCAGAAGACUUUCUGAACUUGCCAGGCAACCCUCCCCCUCGACUUUGGGGACAGAGGAGCUUAAAUUUAUAUUUCCAGUGUCACACAAGGAGAUAGAAUGGAGUUGGCUGCUUUACACAAGUAAUGAAAAUCAAUGCUGUGUUGCUCUUGGAAGGAGUGCUCAAAAGAAGAAAAGCCUGGCAUAUACAUCUUGGUUUAGAGAAAGAUUUUACCUGGGAAGAGUGUGCCCAGGAGAAGGAGAUGAGGUGAUGCUGAAAGCCAGACUGGGACUGAAGCUUUGUAACAAGAUUUAUCUGGAAAGUAUGACUGACAGGAGCAGCUUACUCACCAUUAGAUAAGUAUUGCAGAUGACUCAUGCUGGAGUAUUGAUAGCUGUGCUGCUGAGAUGGAUAUCCUGUUUUAUAACAGCUGUAGUAUGAUGCCAAGAGCUAGGAACCUUAAUUUCACUAUCCUUGCUUUUCUGUGGAUGUGCUUUGGGUCUCUGGCACCUUUUCUCCUUGGUUUGUCCAUCUAAAGAGUUCACAGGGGAGGUUUUGCUUCCCUCAGUGGGUUGUAGGUUAUGGGGCCA